UACAUUGAAAUCCUCAGUGGC
RNAcentral lists this non-coding RNA (21 nucleotides) under Arabidopsis thaliana (thale cress). The record is from RNAcentral. Lineage: Eukaryota; Viridiplantae; Streptophyta; Magnoliopsida; Brassicales; Brassicaceae.